RNAcentral lists this ribosomal RNA (377 nucleotides) under uncultured bacterium. RNAcentral describes it as "bacterial SSU rRNA". It matches the Rfam family "Bacterial small subunit ribosomal RNA", at positions 523 to 898 of the family's 1533-position model. The record is from RNAcentral.
AUACGUAGGUGGCGAGCGUUGUCCGGAAUUACUGGGUGUAAAGGGCGUGUAGGCGGGGAUGCAAGUCAGAUGUGAAAUACCGCGGCUUAACCGCGGGGCUGCAUCUGAAACUGUGUCUCUUGAGUGUCGGAGAGGAAAGCGGAAUUCCCAGUGUAGCGGUGAAAUGCGUAGAGAUUGGGAGGAACACCGGUGGCGAAGGCGGCUUUCUGGACGACAACUGACGCUGAGGCGCGAAAGCGUGGGGAGCAAACAGGAUUAGAUACCCUGGUAGUCCACGCCGUAAACGAUGGAUACUAGGUGUAGGAGGUAUCGACCCCUUCUGUGCCGGAGUUAACACAAUAAGUAUCCCACCUGGGGAGUACGGCCGCAAGGUUGAG